UGGGGAAUAUUGCACAAUGGGCGGAAGCCUGAUGCAGCGACGCCGCGUGGGGGAAGAAGGCCUUCGGGUUGUAAACUCCUUUCGACAGGGACGAAGCUUUUGUGACGGUACCUGUAUAAGAAGCACCGGCUAACUACGUGCCAGCAGCCGCGGUAAUACGUAGGGUGCGAGCGUUGUCCGGAAUUACUGGGCGUAAAGAGCUCGUAGGUGGUUUGUCGCGUCGUCUGUGAAAUUCCGGGGCUUAACUCCGGGCGUGCAGGCGAUACGGGCUGACUAGAGUGCUGUAGGGGAGACUGGAAUUCCUGGUGUAGCGGUGAAAUGCGCAGAUAUCAGGAGGAACACCGAUGGCGAAGGCAGGUCUCUGGGCAGUAACUGACGCUGAGGAGCGAAAGCAUGGGUAGCGAACAGG
Molecule: ribosomal RNA, 409 nt
Filed under: Actinomycetes bacterium
Lineage: Bacteria; Bacillati; Actinomycetota; Actinomycetes
Description: Actinobacteria bacterium partial 16S ribosomal RNA
Rfam family: Bacterial small subunit ribosomal RNA
Source: RNAcentral